ACAGUGGUGGCUUAGUGGUAGAAUUCUCACCUUCCAUGUGGAAGACCUGGUUCGAUUCCCAGCCAGUGUA
Molecule: transfer RNA, 70 nt
Organism: Loxodonta africana (African savanna elephant)
Lineage: Eukaryota; Metazoa; Chordata; Mammalia; Proboscidea; Elephantidae
Rfam family: tRNA
About the family: Transfer RNA (tRNA) molecules are approximately 80 nucleotides in length. Their secondary structure includes four short double-helical elements and three loops (D, anti-codon, and T loops).
Source: Rfam